UAACCAGCAUCAAUAGUCCA
RNAcentral lists this unclassified non-coding RNA (20 nucleotides) under Mus musculus (house mouse). RNAcentral's name for it is "oocyte_clustered_small_RNA8936". Lineage: Eukaryota; Metazoa; Chordata; Mammalia; Rodentia; Muridae. The record is from RNAcentral.